UACAGAUGGAAGAUUGACGUUUCUGUCUCAGCUCCACCAUUUGCUACUGUGUGCUGUUGGCUGUGUUUGUUUUAAUGUCUCCAAGGCUUGGUUUCUCCAACAGUGAUAUGGAGAUUAUAAUACCUACCCUUAGGGCUACUUCCAGAAUUAAAUGCUAGUAUAUAUGCUAGCUCUGGGCCUGUUUUCCCUCAGACCCAUUCCUUCACGUUUCCUGUUCUGCCUCGCAUGGCAGGGCCCCUGACCCUGGCUGAGUUCAGCCAAUGGGAACUUGGGAGAAGGUAUUUCUUUCCCUCUCUUUCUGCCUCAGGCAGCUUCUCCAGCAACCUCUUCCUCUCUGCCAUUUCUCCAGUCUCCUCUGGAAAGCCCUUAAUACUGCAGCUCCCACAAUGGCCUCCUCCCUUUGUCCCUUCAGCCUCAAGGUUACCUCACUGUCACCUGUCCAGCUUCUCAGCUCACCAUCACCUGUGUAGCCAGUCCCCUUCAUUGAAUUCCCUUGCAUAUAAAUGCCCGAGAUGCUUUCUGUUUUCCUGGUUGGACCUUGGUUGGUAAAGUGUGUGAGCGUGUAAAUGUGUUGCACACCGAGGUGGAGACAGACCUCCUGAAGAUCACAUUCCACAAGGUGCAAGGGGGCAGGGCUGCUCACCUGGUUCUUUUCACUCUAAGCAUCAGAUCCUGGACGUGGACCGUAAGGUCAGGAUCUUCCUGAGCCAGCUGUCAAUCUGAAACAAUUUCCACAGGGGUUCUUCAACUUGGGAUUUUAUAAAGACAGAAACAUGGGAUAAGAAGUAUAUAUGUUUUUAUCAUGUAUUAGCUAAAAAAUAUAUACUGUAAUAAAACGUACCCAGGGGACUUCAGGUGUGCCUUUCAUUUACUCUUUGCUAAGGAAGCUACAAGCAGUGUGGUCUGGUGUGUCUAGACUCUUCUAGAUUUUGUGGACCUUUUUCUGAGUCUCCCGCUAUUCCUGUUCCACACCUGGUAGCAUUGUCUUGUUUCCCAGCCUGUGCUCCGUUUCAGUGAGGGAGCCAUGAGUGUUAUCUUAUCUCUGCACUGCUAAAGGAGGUUGUCUCCAUCAACCUCCUGCCCAUCCCUUCCCAGGUUUUGCUCUGCCCUCUGUGCUGUUUGUCUCUGUCUGCCCUCUGUCUUCUGGUUCUGCUGUGCUGUGGGGAUGGAGAAAGUUCUACUCCACUCCUUUUGGCAGGAAGAGUAACUUCCUCAUUGAGGUCAGAAUUGAAAAUGGAUUUCCCCAUUGGGCAGAGAGAAGGAGGCCCACACUUCCUGUGCAGUGUUAUUAAUCGGAGCCCCUCCCCUGCCUGUGACUGCCCAGGCUCAGGCCGGGCCCUGCUUAACCGUUUCCUGCCCAACAUUGUGAAGACCCAAAGGAACUGUGCGAGCUAUAAAGUGCUUUCUAUUUAAUUGUUAUACUUUGCGGGCCAUCACUCUUUGGGUGUGGAGAUACCUGCUGUGUGGGGAGAGCCCAAUGGCCAGGGUAUCCCACAGGAGAGGAAAGCUGAGUCCAGCGGGAGAGGGGCAGGGGCAGAGGAAGUUAGAACAGCAGUGCCCUUGCCUGAGGAGCGCAUUUAGUACAUUUUUCUCCCUCCCGUCCCCACAGGCAGAAGUAUAUUUCAUCUCAAACUGACAGGCCUUCAAAGACAUUCUUUAUGGAUGCUGGCCUCCCUGGAGGGGUGGGGCUUCAGAUCCCUGACAGUCCCAGCCCUAGGACGGUGUCGGAAAGUCACAUGCUGCUCACGAGGUCUGCGCUGCCCCUCCUGACCUCCGGAAGCAGCACCCUUUGUGCGCCUGGUGAACCCAUCUUUCCAGACAACUCCAGCGUCCCCUCCCCUGGGAAGCCUUCAGGGAUGAAGCCCCCAGGCAGUCACCCACUCCCUCCUCAUUUCUCCCAUAGCGUUUGCUGUCCUUUGCUACACCGUUUAUUCUCUUGUCUAUGUUCUCAGUGGGACUGUGGGCUCUUUGAGCGAAAGAAGCUUUUUUUGUCGGUACUGGGUGCACAAUAGGUCUCAAUAAAUCUUAGACCCCAUGUCACCUUGUUUAGUGAUUCUCAAACAUAAGUGCAUAAGAAUUACCUGAAAAAUGGAUUAAAACGCAGAUCCCAG
Long non-coding RNA from Equus asinus (donkey), 2111 nucleotides. NCBI's taxonomy places the organism in Eukaryota, Metazoa, Chordata, Mammalia, Perissodactyla, Equidae. The record is from Ensembl.